CUGCUCAUCUUCGACCAUGGACGUGAUGGCCGUCCGCCUCAAACUCACUGGCAUCGCGCCUCUUAUCCCCGGCGACCGCGCGCUAGUCUAGUAGGCACGGGAGGACACGGUCGCCACUCCCAUAACAUCGGCACCUCCCCCGUGCUGCCCUCUAUCGACAACGGCGAGAGCCGAGCCCCUCUCCUCUGCUCCAGUCGGGAGGAGGAAGAGGGCCAGAGAAAGAGAGGAGGAAAAGGUAUGCGCUGGAUGUGAACGCCGAGAGGCGGAGGACGUGGUCACGCACCAGCGGCUGCUCGAGGAGGCACACAACCCCGUGCGCCGGCCCGCCCUGUCGGUGCGCGUCGUCCAGGUUAACGACUAUAUUGUUAAGGAAGCUCAUCUCUUGCAUCAAAUCGAAUUGCGUGAAAAGGAACAUUUGAAGUUCUUGCAGCUUUCUUAAGGAUUUUAUGAUUAAAUCUGGCAUUUGACACUGAGAAUUGGAAUCUGACCCAAUUUGCAACAGCUCUGAAGAUGAUCUGUUUCCCUGGAGCAUCAGGUCUGGCUAAUUUGAUCAUGUGCUAUCUGUGAUGGGCGAAGGGAGAGCAAGGAGGGGGAGGAGGGAAGGCAGAGGUUAACAUAUUUUUCUUAUAGUGUAAAUGUGUUCCUCGAUGAACUAAAGCUUGGUCAUUGUACAAUCCGGGGGAGCCUUGAUACCUUCUCAUGCUCCACUAAAUUUUGAUUACUGAGUCCAUUACAUCAUGGCAAUAGGGUCAAGCUCCACUUUAAUUUGCCUGCAAGCAUGCAGGAAAUAAGCCUUGAACAUUAGGUAUUACUUUCCACCAGCCUAUGAUUUUACCACAACUGCUUUUCAUUUAGUGCUGAUGUUGAUCAGUAGGCAUUGAUGUGAUAUUUAUAUAUUGUUAUUAUUGCCAAAUACAAUUCAUGACUUUAUGGUUCUUUUGACGUGA
Aegilops tauschii subsp. strangulata is the source of this 947-nucleotide long non-coding RNA. RefSeq lists it as uncharacterized. Lineage: Eukaryota; Viridiplantae; Streptophyta; Magnoliopsida; Poales; Poaceae. The record is from RefSeq and is a predicted model, not a curated record.